UGGCGGACGGGUGAGUAAUGUCUGGGAAACUGCCCGAUGGAGGGGGAUAACUACUGGAAACGGUAGCUAAUACCGCAUAACGUCGCAAGACCAAAGCGGGGGACCUCCGGGCCUCGCGCCAUCAGAUGAACCCAUAUGGGAUUAGCUAGUAGGUGGGGUAACGGCUCACCUAGGCGACGAUCCCUAGCUGGUCUGAGAGGAUGACCAGCCACACUGGAACUGAGACACGGUCCAG
This 235-nucleotide ribosomal RNA is filed under the name uncultured bacterium. Its description in RNAcentral is "partial 16S ribosomal RNA". It matches the Rfam family "Bacterial small subunit ribosomal RNA", at positions 96 to 334 of the family's 1533-position model. The record is from RNAcentral.